AACGAACGCUGGCGGCAGGCUUAACACAUGCAAGUCGAGCGCCCCGCAAGGGGAGCGGCAGACGGGUGAGUAAAGCGUGGGAAUCUACCGUGCCCUACGGAAUAUAUCCGGGAAACUGGAAUUAAUACCGUAUACGCUCUACGAGGGACAGAUUUAUCGGGGUAUGAUGAGCCCGCGGUGGAUUAGCUAGUUGGUGGGGUAAAGGCCUACCAAGGCGACGAUCCAUAGCUGGUCUGAGAGGAUGAUCAGCCACAUUGGGACUGAGACACGGCCCAAACUCCUACGGGAGGCAGCAGUGGGGAAUAUUGGACAAUGGGCGCAAGCCUGAUCCAGCCAUGCCGCGUGAGUGAUGAAGGUCUUAGGAUUGUAAAGCUCUUUCACCGGUGAAGAUAAUGACGGUAACCGGAGAAGAAGCCCCGGCUAACUUCGUGCCAGCCGCCGCCGUAA
Molecule: ribosomal RNA, 447 nt
Filed under: uncultured bacterium
Lineage: Bacteria
Description: partial 16S ribosomal RNA
Rfam family: Bacterial small subunit ribosomal RNA
Source: RNAcentral